AACAUCCCUAUGUGCCCAAAGCACAGGCCUCAGAGUUGGGCCACUUCUACUCUAUUUCGUUCACGUCGUGUCUGGGAGGCCAGGAAAUGGGUCUCUCCGGGCAGCCAUGUGCCCCCGGUAUCUAGCACAGUUCCUGGCACACAGUAGGUCCUCGAUACCUAUCUAUUGAGCUAAACAAAUAUGUUCUAGGCCCCACAGGAGAUAUAACAUGAGUGAGACAAGGUUCCUGACGGUAACAGGGUUGGUAGUGUCUGCACUGAGUGGGCACUCAGUUCAGGUCCUCAGCUUAAGUUUAAGUGACAAAUUUUCAAGAUUUACUUUCCAAAUAAUUGCUCUUCACCCCCAAUAUUAGAACAGAACUUUCUAUAAUUGAAUGGAAUUCCCGUGAACCAAUUGCUAGAAGUUUUACACACUUUUGUCCUCAUCGGAUUCCCAAAUUAAUCCUAGAAAGCAGGUGACCUUAUUAUUAUUAUCACCUCAUUCACAGUUGAGAGAUCUAAUAGCUUGCCUAUUGUCAUGCAACUCUAAGCGGGAGAAGUAGGAUUGAAGUUCACGUUUGACCCAAGCCCGGCUCUCACUCAUUCAUUCCUCUGCUUGGCAACAAUUCACUGGACGUCUGUGCCUGUGCUGGGUGGGGUUGGAGGUGUCACAAUACAUUGUCCCUGCCAUCAAAAAACUCAUAAACUGUUAGGGAAAGCCACCUGUAAACAAAGAAUUGUCACACAGGGUGCCGAGCAUUAUGAGAGUGGGAUAUAUGGAAACGCUCAUGACCACAGUAACUCAACAGGAGACGUGGUAGAUGAAGCAAGGUUUUCCAGAGGGGGGGACUUGAACUAGUUUUGGGAAAUUGAAUAUUUUUGUCAGGACAACACAGGAAUGCUCAGGGUGGUAAAGUCUGUGCUCGAAUGUCACCUCAGUAGGGCAUCCCCGAUUCCCCCAUAUGAAGAGCAGAGUCACACCUCCUUGUCCACAGCUCUCUCAAUCCAUUUUAUUAUUUUUUUCCCACAGCACUCAACACGUACAACAUACCUCAUGCGGUAGGAUGAAGAGUGGUCCCCUAAAACGUCCACGUUCUAAUCCUCAGAAACUAUGUCUAUAUGAGCCUUUAUGGCAAGAUGGACUUUGCAGAUAUGAUGAAGUUAAGGGUCUUGAGAUGGGAAGAUUAUCCUGGAUUAUCUGGGUGGGCCUGAUAGAAUCACAAGAGUCCUUAUAAGAGGGAGGUGGGAGCUCAAAGAGGACAGAAGAUGCUCCACAGCUGGCUUUGAAGGUGGAGGAAGCCACGAGAAUAUGGGAAGCCAUGAGUUGCCACUAGAAGCUGAAAAAGGCAAAGAAACGGAUUCUCCCCUGGAGACUCCAGAAGGACCCAGUUCGGCUGACACUACUAUUUUAGUCCUAUCGGACUUGUUUUGGACUUCUGACCUUCAGAACCGAGCAGAGGGGAUGUUUGAGCCACAAGAUGCAAGGAGCCUGGGACCCUGAAUUACCACGAGGAGAAAGCUGCAUGCCGGCCAGGAAGCCCCACACUGGAUUGUUAUAGAGAAACAUCGGGAAUGACAACACAAUGAGAUCAUGAUAAGAGGAAGCAGCUAAACCUGACAGGUCACCUCCUCCUCUCGUUCUAGCAACCCAGCCUCUCAUAAGAACAAGGAAGAGCAAAGUGACAGCUUCCAGAGCAAAGGGGAGACAUCUCGCAGCUCUGAGUAGAUAAGCUUAGUGCUGGCUUCACACGGAGGGGCAAGACUCCGGACUCCAUGGGAUAACAAAGCUUUGUUUCCAAAUCAACUGUGAAUAUGAAGACCGAAGGAGAGCUGACCCAGGGCCCAUCGCAAAAGGGUUCAGAGAGACCACAGAUCUUUGCUGGCCAAAGUAUUAAAAAUAAAACAACAAAACCAAAGACCCUUCACAAGAAACUGAAAUCACAAGAAACUGAAAUGUAAAGGAGAAUGACUUGAGUUUGUCAGUAUCGCGAGAACUGAAAGGGGAUCUGCGUUGGCUCCUGGAAGUGUAUAACCAGGUUAGGAACAGUGGAGCUGAGAUUAACUCAGAUGCCCAUCAGAGGCUCCGAAUGGAAAACCAUGUUGAAAAGCAUAAAGUGCUCUCUGAUGUGAGGCAUUCUUGGGAUGUGCGGAAAUUAUUUUCAUUUGAAGGGAAAGAGAAAAACUAAGAAACAAAAGAAGCCAAAGAGCCUUUCAAAUAUUUUACCAUGAAUUCGUACUUUGAAAGGAAAAUAAUAAAAGUGGAUUCAUA
Long non-coding RNA from Equus asinus (donkey), 2247 nucleotides. NCBI's taxonomy places the organism in Eukaryota, Metazoa, Chordata, Mammalia, Perissodactyla, Equidae. The record is from Ensembl.